Molecule: ribosomal RNA, 433 nt
Filed under: uncultured bacterium
Lineage: Bacteria
Description: partial 16S ribosomal RNA
Rfam family: Bacterial small subunit ribosomal RNA
Source: RNAcentral
AACGAACGCUGGCGGCAUGCCUAACACAUGCAAGUCGAACGAAACCUUCCGGUCUGGUGUCGCCCGGGUGCGUAACGCUGGGUAACCUGCCUGUAAGCUGCGAAUAACUUCGGGAAAUUUUAAGUAAAACCGGGUGAAUUCUUCGUACGAAUGAUUUCUCGCCUUUAGAUGGGGCCGAGUUUGAUUGGCUAGUUGGUGGGGUAAAGGCAUACCACGUCGUCGAGCCAUAGCUGGUCUGAGAGGAUGAUCAGCCACACUGGGACUGAGACCCGGCCCAGACGCGUACGGGAGGCAGCGGUGGGGGAUAUAGGGGAGGGGGCGUGAGGCUGCAACAGCGAGGGCGGGAGAGUGAUGAAGGGGUUGGGGUUGUAAUGCUCUUUUAGCGGAGCUGGUAAUGACAGUAUCGGGAGAAGAAGCACCGGCUAACUACGUG